UACGUAGGGUGCAAGCGUUAAUCGGAAUUACUGGGCGUAAAGCGUGCGCAGGCGGUUUUGUAAGUCUGUCGUGAAAUCCCGGGCUCAACCUGGGAAUUGCGAUGGAGACUGCAAGGCUAGAAUCUGGCAGAGGGGGGUAGAAUUCCACGUGUAGCAGUGAAAUGCGUAGAGAUGCGGAGGAACACCGAUGGCGAAGGCAGCCCCCUGGGCUAGCACUGACGCUCAGGCACGAAAGCGUGGGGAGCAAACAGG
This 252-nucleotide ribosomal RNA is filed under the name uncultured bacterium. Its description in RNAcentral is "partial 16S ribosomal RNA". It matches the Rfam family "Bacterial small subunit ribosomal RNA", at positions 524 to 776 of the family's 1533-position model. The record is from RNAcentral.